GACGAACGCUGGCGGCGUGCCUAAUACAUGCAAGUAGAACGCUGAAGGAGGAGCUUGCUCUUCUGGAUGAGUUGCGAACGGGUGAGUAACGCGUAGGUAACCUGCCUGGUAGUGGGGGAUAACUAUUGGAAACGAUAGCUAAUACCGCAUAAUAACAGUUGUUGCAUGACAACUGUUUGAAAGGUGCAAUUGCAUCACUACCAGAUGGACCUGCGUUGUAUUAGCUAGUUGGUGGGGUAACGGCUCACCAAGGCGACGAUACAUAGCCGACCUGAGAGGGUGAUCGGCCACACUGGGACUGAGACACGGCCCAGACUCCUACGGGAGGCAGCAGUAGGGAAUCUUCGGCAAUGGACGAAAGUCUGACCGAGCAACGCCGCGUGAGUGAAGUAGGUUUUCGGAUCGUAAAGCUCUGUUGUAAGAGAAGAACGAGUGUGAGAGUGGAAAGUUCACACUGUGACGGUAUCUUACCAGAAAGGGACGGCUAACUACGUGC
Molecule: ribosomal RNA, 496 nt
Filed under: uncultured Streptococcus sp.
Lineage: Bacteria; Bacillati; Bacillota; Bacilli; Lactobacillales; Streptococcaceae
Description: bacterial SSU rRNA
Rfam family: Bacterial small subunit ribosomal RNA
Source: RNAcentral